RNAcentral lists this ribosomal RNA (159 nucleotides) under Jovellana violacea. Its description in RNAcentral is "5.8S ribosomal RNA". It matches the Rfam family "5.8S ribosomal RNA". From Rfam's summary of the family: 5.8S ribosomal RNA (5.8S rRNA) is a component of the large subunit of the eukaryotic ribosome. The record is from RNAcentral. Lineage: Eukaryota; Viridiplantae; Streptophyta; Magnoliopsida; Lamiales; Calceolariaceae.
UAAAUGACUCUCGGCAACGGAUAUCUCGGCUCUCGCAUCGAUGAAGAACGUAGCGAAAUGCGAUACUUGGUGUGAAUUGCAGAAUCCCGUGAACCAUCGAGUCUUUGAACGCAAGUUGCGCCCGAAGCCACCAGGCUGAGGGCACGUCUGCCUGGGCGU